AGAAUCAACGCUGGCGGCGUGCCUAACACAUGCAAGUCGAACGAGAAAGUGGAGCAAUCCAUGAGUAAAGUGGCGCACGGGUGAGUAACACGUGACUAACCUACCUUUUAGUGGGGGAUAACCUAGGGAAACCUGGGCUAAUACCGCAUAACACUUACGAGUCAAAGCAGCGAUGCGCUGAAAGAGGGGGUCGCGGCCGAUUAGCUAGUUGGCGGGGUAAUGGCCCACCAAGGCAGUGAUCGGUAUCCGGCCUGAGAGGGCGCACGGACACACUGGAACUGAAACACGGUCCAGACUCCUACGGGAGGCAGCAGUGGGAAUUUUGCGCAAUGGGGGAAACCCUGACGCAGCAACGCCGCGUGGAGGAUGAAGUCCCUUGGGACGUAAACUCCUUUCGAUCGGGACGAUAAUGACGGUACCGGAAGAAGAAGCCCCGGCUAACUUCGUGCCAGCAGCCGC
RNAcentral lists this ribosomal RNA (459 nucleotides) under uncultured bacterium. RNAcentral describes it as "SSU rRNA". It matches the Rfam family "Bacterial small subunit ribosomal RNA", at positions 26 to 518 of the family's 1533-position model. The record is from RNAcentral.